This 1302-nucleotide long non-coding RNA is filed under the name Callithrix jacchus (white-tufted-ear marmoset). RNAcentral's name for it is "lncRNA (ENSCJAG00000077651.1)". Lineage: Eukaryota; Metazoa; Chordata; Mammalia; Primates; Cebidae. The record is from RNAcentral.
GGAUUUAGAGUGAAUCCUAAAUCCAGUGACUGGUGUUCUUCUAAGAAGAGGAGAGGACACAGAAACAGAGAGAAGAUGGCUACGUGACGACAGAGGGAGAGACUGAAGUGAUGUUGCUGCAAACCAAGAAAAGCCAAGAACAACCAGAAGCUGAAAGAAGAAAGAAAAGGAUUCUUCCCUAAGGAUUGUGGAAGGAGAGCAGCCCUACUGAUGCCUUGAUUUUGGACUUCUAGCCUCCCAAACUGUGAGAGAGUACAUUUCUGUUAUUUUAAGCGACAUAGUUUGUGACACUUAAUUAUAGCAGCUCUAGGAAACCAAAAUAUCCAGUAUCAUGCGAGGACUCUCUUGUGCCAGGUCUUCUGCAGAAAGCCACACUUCAGCAUAAAACCUAAAUAUAAUCUAGGAUUAUUGGGAUAGGCAGAGAUUGUUAAUCACGAUGAUGCAUAGGGGAGCUUACAAAUGUGGAAGGCAGCAGCAGAAUGUACCAGCUUCGACCUUCUCAGCCUCAUCUGUCUUCAGGAACUUUGACACUUCUAUUCCAGAUACCACUGCAAGGAAGAGCCAGUUGCAUACAGGGGCAAUUGGAAAGGGCUUUUCCUCAUGCUGUUGCUCCUUUUACACUUUCUGCCCUGAGGCUGUAUCAUGACUAAGCCUUGAAAUGCCACGUGACUAGAUGUCUACACAUACACAGCCUGGAAGUACAAGUGGAUUAAUACACCACAGUGGCUCAGAAAACAAUCUUCCAAAAUCAAGCCAUCAGAAGCAGCCUUGGAAGGAAAUUUUCCUCUCUUCUCCUGUGCUCCUCCCUCUCAGUCCCAUUCUCCCUGCAAGGUUAACUAUAGAAACCAGAAUCCCUCUUCUCCAAGUGAUUUUCAGGAAACAUUUAAGGUUCCAAGGGCUUUGCCCCUACCACAGCAUCUGACAAACAUUUACUCUACUGGAUGAAUGAAAGCAGAUAAAUGCUUCUGACUUCCUCCAACAAAGCAGAUGCCUAAGACUCACGAGUUCACAUUGCCUCUUGGCUGAAGAUCCUACAAGCUUUUACAAUCAGUGGAUCUUGACACCAAGCCAUGGUCAGUUCAUAACACACCUUAAUAUUGUUGAUUCUCCUUCCCUACCUGCCUUUUCAUUUUCCUCAUUCCUCCUGCCCUGGAUUUUGCUUCCUAAUAAAGUAGUAGCACAUAAGCAUUUGCCGCUGGCUUUGCUUUCUGGGGAAUCUAAGUAAAGCACAGCUUUUCAGUGAGCCAAUUGACCUAAAUCUCAGUGAAUGUCUUAAUCAAAGUACUCUCAGUUACAACUGGA